RNAcentral lists this ribosomal RNA (468 nucleotides) under uncultured bacterium. RNAcentral's name for it is "partial 16S ribosomal RNA". It matches the Rfam family "Bacterial small subunit ribosomal RNA", at positions 28 to 507 of the family's 1533-position model. The record is from RNAcentral.
GACGAACGCUGGCGGCGUGCUUAACACAUGCAAGUCGAACGGAAAGGCCCUGCUUUUGUGGGGUGCUCGAGUGGCGAACGGGUGAGUAACACGUGAGUAACCUUCCCUUGACUUUGGGAUAACUUCAGGAAACUGGGGCUAAUACCGGAUAGGAGCUCCUGCUGCAUGUUGGGGGUUGGAAAGUUUCGGCGGUUGGGGAUGGACUCGCGGCUUAUCAGCUUGUUGGUGGGGUAGUGGCUUACCAAGGCUUUGACGGGUAGCCGGCCUGAGAGGGUGACCGGCCACAUUGGGACUGAGAUACGGCCCAGACUCCUACGGGAGGCAGCAGUGGGGAAUAUUGCACAAUGGGCGGAAGCCUGAUGCAGCAACGCCGCGUGCGGGAUGACGGCCUUCGGGUUGUAAACCGCUUUCGCCUGUGACGAAGCGUGAGUGACGGUAAUGGGUAAAGAAGCACCGGCUAACUACGUG